AGCAGCCGCGGUAAUUCCAGCUCCAAUAGCGUAUAUUAAAGUUGUUGCAGUUAAAAAGCUCGUAGUUGAAUUUCGGGAUCAAGUCGUCGGUCGUGCUCAGGUACGUACUGGCGUCAUUGAUUUCUCCCUUCUGACGAACCAUGAUGUCAUUAAUUUGGUGUCAUGGGAAAUCAGGACUGUUACUUUGAAAAAAUUAGAGUGUUUAAAGCAGGCUCACGCUUGAAUACAUUAGCAUGGAAUAAUGAAAUAGGACGUUCGAUCCUAUUUUGUUGGUUUUUAGGAUCAACGUAAUGAUUAAUAGGGAUAGUUGGGGGCAUUAGUAUUCAAUUGUCAGAGGUGAAAUUCUUGGGUUUAUUGAAGACUAACUACUGCGAAAGCAUUUGCCAAGGAUGUUUUCAUUAAUCAAGAACGAAAGUUAGGGGAUCGAAGACGAUCAGAUACCGUCGUAGUCUUAACCAUAAGCUAUGCCGACUAGGGAUCGGAUGAUGUUAAUUUUUUAAUGACUCAUUCGGCGCCUUAC
RNAcentral lists this unclassified non-coding RNA (520 nucleotides) under uncultured Glomus. Its description in RNAcentral is "SSU rRNA". It matches the Rfam family "Eukaryotic small subunit ribosomal RNA", at positions 569 to 1091 of the family's 1831-position model. Lineage: Eukaryota; Fungi; Glomeromycota; Glomeromycetes; Glomerales; Glomeraceae. RNAcentral also lists the same sequence under 1 other name. The record is from RNAcentral.